UGGGGAAUAUUGGACAAUGGGCGCAAGCCUGAUCCAGCCAUGCCGCGUGAGUGAUGAAGGCCCUAGGGUUGUAAAGCUCUUUCGCCAGGGACGAUAAUGACGGUACCUGGAUAAGAAGCCCCGGCUAACUUCGUGCCAGCAGCCGCGGUAAUACGAAGGGGGCUAGCGUUGUUCGGAAUCACUGGGCGUAAAGCGCACGUAGGCGGAUCUUUAAGUCAGGGGUGAAAUCCCGAGGCUCAACCUCGGAACUGCCUUUGAUACUGGAGGUCUCGAGUCCGGGAGAGGUGAGUGGAACUGCGAGUGUAGAGGUGAAAUUCGUAGAUAUUCGCAAGAACACCAGUGGCGAAGGCGGCUCACUGGCCCGGUACUGACGCUGAGGUGCGAAAGCGUGGGGAGCAGACAGGAUUAGAUACCCUGGUAGUCCACGCCGUAAACUAUGGAUGCUAGCCGUUGGGCAGCUUGCUGUUCAGUGGCGCAGCUAACGCUUUAAGCAUCCCGCCUGGGGAGUACGGUCGCAAGAUUAAAACUCAAAUGAAUUGAC
Molecule: ribosomal RNA, 541 nt
Filed under: uncultured bacterium
Lineage: Bacteria
Description: partial 16S ribosomal RNA
Rfam family: Bacterial small subunit ribosomal RNA
Source: RNAcentral